CUACACAUGCAAGUCGAACGGUAACAGAAAAAGCUUGCUUUUUGCUGACGAGUGGCGAACGGGUGCGUAACGCGUAUGCAACCUACCUUUUUCUAAGGAAUAGCCCAGAGAAAUUUGGAUUAAUACCUUAUAAUAAUAUUCAUUCGCAUGUUUGAAUAUUUAAAGCUUUUGCGGAAAAAGAUGGGCAUGCGUGACAUUAGUUUGUUGGUGAGGUAACGGCUCACCAAGACUAUGAUGUCUAGGGGUUCUGAGAGGAUGAUCCCCCACACUGGUACUGAGACACGGACCAGACUCCUACGGGAGGCAGCAGUGAGGAAUAUUGGUCAAUGGACGAAAGUCUGAACCAGCCAUGCCGCGUGAAGGAUGACGGCCCUACGGGUUGUAAACUUCUUUUGUAUAGGAAGAAACCCCCCUACGUGUAGGGGGCUGACGGUACUAUACGAAUAAGCACCGGCUAACUCCGUGCCAGCAGCCGCGGUAAUACGGAGGGUGCAAGCGUUAUCCGGAAUUAUUGGGUUUAAAGGGUGCGUAGGCGGAAAUUUAAGUCAGUGGUGAAAGCCUGCAGCUCAACUGUAGAAUUGCCAUUGAUACUGAAUUUCUUGAAUCUAAUUGAAGUGGGCGGAAUAUGACAUGUAGCGGUGAAAUGCUUAGAUAUGUCAUAGAACACCGAUAGCGAAGGCAGCUCACUAAGUUAGUAUUGACGCUCAUGCACGAAAGCGUGGGGAGCGAACAGGAUUAGAUACCCUGGUAGUCCACGCUGUAAACGAUGAUUACUCGCUAUUGGCGAUACACUGUCAGUGGCUAAGCGAAAGUGAUAAGUAAUCCACCUGGGGAGUACGAUCGCAAGGUUGAAACUCAAAGGAAUUGACGGGGGCCCGCAC
Molecule: ribosomal RNA, 881 nt
Filed under: uncultured bacterium
Lineage: Bacteria
Description: bacterial SSU rRNA
Rfam family: Bacterial small subunit ribosomal RNA
Source: RNAcentral